CCUACGGGUGGCUGCAGUGGGGAAUAUUGGACAAUGGGCGCAAGCCUGAUCCAGCCAUGCCGCGUGAGUGAUGAAGGCCCUAGGGUUGUAAAGCUCUUUCACCGGUGAAGAUAAUGACGGUAACCGGAGAAGAAGCCCCGGCUAACUUCGUGCCAGCAGCCGCGGUAAUACGAAGGGGGCUAGCGUUGUUCGGAAUUACUGGGCGUAAAGCGCACGUAGGCGGAUUGUUAAGUUAGGGGUGAAAUCCCAGGGCUCAACCCUGGAACUGCCUCUAAUACUGGCAAUCUCGAGUUCGAGAGAGGUGAGUGGAAUUCCGAGUGUAGAGGUGAAAUUCGUAGAUAUUCGGAGGAACACCAGUGGCGAAGGCGGCUCACUGGCUCGAUACUGACGCUGAGGUGCGAAAGCGUGGGGAGCAAACAGGAUUAGAUACCCCGGUAGUC
This 440-nucleotide ribosomal RNA is filed under the name uncultured bacterium. Its description in RNAcentral is "partial 16S ribosomal RNA". It matches the Rfam family "Bacterial small subunit ribosomal RNA", at positions 338 to 795 of the family's 1533-position model. The record is from RNAcentral.